This 206-nucleotide long non-coding RNA is filed under the name Lathyrus oleraceus (garden pea). RNAcentral describes it as "Pisum sativum (pea) long non-coding RNA (PSAT_LNC019643)". Lineage: Eukaryota; Viridiplantae; Streptophyta; Magnoliopsida; Fabales; Fabaceae. The record is from RNAcentral.
UUAAUAUAAUCCGUUAUUAUACUACCUAACAACCAAUCAAUUAAUUAACACCCCAAAUAAAUAAAAUAAAAUAGUAUAAUAAUAAUAUAAAAAAUAAAUACUAAAAUUGGGUUUUUACAAGCCCCAUAGGCAAAAAGUGUCUAUCUUUCCUUCUUUCUUCCCCACUGAGUUAUGUCCUCGUGGAUGAUAAUUAUUUCAGUCUCCUC